RNAcentral lists this ribosomal RNA (120 nucleotides) under Microcebus murinus (gray mouse lemur). Lineage: Eukaryota; Metazoa; Chordata; Mammalia; Primates; Cheirogaleidae. The record is from RNAcentral.
GUCUACCGCCAUACCACCCUGAACACGCCUGAUCUCAUCUGAUCUCGGAAGCUAAGCAGGGUCGGGCCUGGUUAAUACUUGGAUGGGAGACAGACAUAAAAAGUCAUUUUCCGAAAGACA